AAUGAAAUGCCUGAAUAAAGGGUUAUUUUGAUAGAAUAAAUUAUGUAAAAUAUUUUACUUUCAUUA
This 66-nucleotide transfer RNA is filed under the name Cucujoidea sp. 12 KM-2017. RNAcentral's name for it is "tRNA-Ile". Lineage: Eukaryota; Metazoa; Arthropoda; Insecta; Coleoptera. The record is from RNAcentral.